UUAAGCGACUAAGCGUACACGGUGGAUGCCCUGGCAGUCAGAGGCGAUGAAGGACGUGCUAAUCUGCGAAAAGCGUCGGUAAGGUGAUAUGAACCGUUAUAGCCGGCGAUGUCCGAAUGGGGAAACCCAGUGCAAUUCGUUGCACUAUCGUUAACUGAAUACAUAGGUUAACGAGGCGAACCGGGGGAACUGAAACAUCUAAGUACCCCGAGGAAAAGAAAUCAACCGAGAUUCCCCAGUAGCGGCGAGCGAACGGGAGCAGCCCAGAGUCUGAAUCAGCUUGUGUGUUAGUGGAACGGUCUGGAAAGUCCGACGGUACAGGGUGAUAGUCCCGUACACCAAAAUGCACAGGCUGUGAACUCGAAGAGUAGGGCGGGACACGUGGUAUCCUGUCUGAAUAUGGGGGGACCAUCCUCCAAGGCUAAAUACUCCUGACUGACCGAUAGUGAACCAGUACCGUGAGGGAAAGGCGAAAAGAACCCCGGCGAGGGGAGUGAAAAAGAACCUGAAACCGUGUACGUACAAGCAGUGGGAGCACCUUCGGGUGUGACUGCGUACCUUUUGUAUAAUGGGUCAGCGACUUAUAUUCUGUAGCAAGGUUAACCGUAUAGGGGAGCCGCAGGGAAACCGAGUCUUAACUGGGCGUUAAGUUGCAGGGUAUAGACCCGAAACCCGGUGAUCUAGCCAUGGGCAGGUUGAAGGUUGGGUAACACUAACUGGAGGACCGAACCGACUAAUGUUGAAAAAUUAGCGGAUGACUUGUGGCUGGGGGUGAAAGGCCAAUCAAACCGGGAGAUAGCUGGUUCUCCCCGAAAGCUAUUUAGGUAGCGCCUCGUGAACUCAUCUUCGGGGGUAGAGCACUGUUUCGGCUAGGGGGUCAUCCCGACUUACCAACCCGAUGCAAACUACGAAUACCGAAGAAUGUUAUCACGGGAGACACACGGCGGGUGCUAACGUCCGUCGUGAAGAGGGAAACAACCCAGACCGCCAGCUAAGGUCCCAAAGUCAUGGUUAAGUGGGAAACGAUGUGGGAAGGCACAGACAGCCAGGAUGUUGGCUUAGAAGCAGCCAUCAUUUAAAGAAAGCGUAAUAGCUCACUGGUCGAGUCGGCCUGCGCGGAAGAUGUAACGGGCUAAACCAUGCACCGAAGCUGCGGCAGCGACACUAUGUGUUGUUGGGUAGGGGAGCGUUCUGUAAGCCUGCGAAGGUGUGCUGUGAGGCAUGCUGGAGGUAUCAGAAGUGCGAAUGCUGACAUAAGUAACGAUAAAGCGGGUGAAAAGCCCGCUCGCCGGAAGACCAAGGGUUCCUGUCCAACGUUAAUCGGGGCAGGGUGAGUCGACCCCUAAGGCGAGGCCGAAAGGCGUAGUCGAUGGGAAACAGGUUAAUAUUCCUGUACUUGGUGUUACUGCGAAGGGGGGACGGAGAAGGCUAUGUUAGCCGGGCGACGGUUGUCCCGGUUUAAGCAUGUAGGCUGAUUGUCCAGGCAAAUCCGGAUAAUCAAGGCUGAGGUGUGAUGACGAGGCACUACGGUGCUGAAGUAACAAAUGCCCUGCUUCCAGGAAAAGCCUCUAAGCAUCAGGUAACAUCAAAUCGUACCCCAAACCGACACAGGUGGUCAGGUAGAGAAUACCAAGGCGCUUGAGAGAACUCGGGUGAAGGAACUAGGCAAAAUGGUGCCGUAACUUCGGGAGAAGGCACGCUGGUGUGUAGGUGAAGUCCCUGCGGAUGGAGCUGAGACCAGUCGAAGAUACCAGCUGGCUGCAACUGUUUAUUAAAAACACAGCACUGUGCAAACACGAAAGUGGACGUAUACGGUGUGACGCCUGCCCGGUGCCGGAAGGUUAAUUGAUGGGGUUAUCCGUAAGGAGAAGCUCUUGAUCGAAGCCCCGGUAAACGGCGGCCGUAACUAUAACGGUCCUAAGGUAGCGAAAUUCCUUGUCGGGUAAGUUCCGACCUGCACGAAUGGCGUAAUGAUGGCCAGGCUGUCUCCACCCGAGACUCAGUGAAAUUGAACUCGCUGUGAAGAUGCAGUGUACCCGCGGCAAGACGGAAAGACCCCGUGAACCUUUACUAUAGCUUGACACUGAACAUUGAGCCUUGAUGUGUAGGAUAGGUGGGAGGCUUUGAAGCGUGGACGCCAGUCUGCGUGGAGCCAACCUUGAAAUACCACCCUUUAAUGUUUGAUGUUCUAACGUUGGCCCCUUACCGGGGUUGCGGACAGUGUCUGGUGGGUAGUUUGACUGGGGCGGUCUCCUCCCAAAGCGUAACGGAGGAGCACGAAGGUUAGCUAAUCCUGGUCGGACAUCAGGAGGUUAGUGCAAUGGCAUAAGCUAGCUUGACUGCGAGCGUGACGGCGCGAGCAGGUGCGAAAGCAGGUCAUAGUGAUCCGGUGGUUCUGAAUGGAAGGGCCAUCGCUCAACGGAUAAAAGGUACUCCGGGGAUAACAGGCUGAUACCGCCCAAGAGUUCAUAUCGACGGCGGUGUUUGGCACCUCGAUGUCGGCUCAUCACAUCCUGGGGCUGAAGUAGGUCCCAAGGGUAUGGCUGUUCGCCAUUUAAAGUGGUACGCGAGCUGGGUUUAGAACGUCGUGAGACAGUUCGGUCCCUAUCUGCCGUGGGCGCUGGAGAAUUGAGGGGGGCUGCUCCUAGUACGAGAGGACCGGAGUGGACGCAUCACUGGUGUUCGGGUUGUCAUGCCAAUGGCACUGCCCGGUAGCUAAAUGCGGAAGAGAUAAGUGCUGAAAGCAUCUAAGCACGAAACUUGCCCCGAGAUGAGUUCUCCCUGAGACUUUAAGUCUCCUGAAGGAACGUUAAAGACGAUGACGUUGAUAGGCCGGGUGUGUAAGCGCAGCGAUGCGUUGAGCUAACCGGUACUAAUGAACCGUGAGGCUUAACCUU
RNAcentral lists this ribosomal RNA (2897 nucleotides) under Klebsiella pneumoniae subsp. pneumoniae. Its description in RNAcentral is "bacterial LSU rRNA". It matches the Rfam family "Bacterial large subunit ribosomal RNA". The record is from RNAcentral. Lineage: Bacteria; Pseudomonadati; Pseudomonadota; Gammaproteobacteria; Enterobacterales; Enterobacteriaceae.